UGAGGAAUAUUGCGCAAUGGGGGCAACCCUGACGCAGCGACGCCGCGUGAGUGAGGAAGGCCUUCGGGUCGUAAAGCUCUGUCAAAGGGAAAGAAAUGUAUAAUGGUUAAUACCUGUUAUGCUUGACGGUACCCUUAAAGGAAGCACCGGCUAACUCCGUGCCAGCAGCCGCGGUAAUACGGAGGGUGCAAGCGUUGUUCGGAAUUACUGGGCGUAAAGGGCGCGCAGGCGGUUUGGUAAGUCAGAUGUGAAAGCCCACGGCUUAACCGUGGAAGUGCAUUUGAUACUGCCGGACUUGAGUACCAGAGGGGAAAGUGGAAUUCCCGGUGUAGAGGUGAAAUUCGUAGAUAUCGGGAGGAAUACCGGUGGCGAAGGCGACUUUCUGGCUGAGUACUGACGCUGAGGCGCGAAAGCGUGGGGAGCAAACA
This 428-nucleotide ribosomal RNA is filed under the name uncultured Desulfobulbus sp. Its description in RNAcentral is "bacterial SSU rRNA". It matches the Rfam family "Bacterial small subunit ribosomal RNA", at positions 355 to 774 of the family's 1533-position model. Lineage: Bacteria; Pseudomonadati; Thermodesulfobacteriota; Desulfobulbia; Desulfobulbales; Desulfobulbaceae. The record is from RNAcentral.